ACGGGUGUAGUUCAAGGGUAGAAUAGUGGUCUCCAAAACCAUUGAUGGGAGUUCGAAUCUCUCCACCCGUG
Molecule: transfer RNA, 71 nt
Filed under: Bacteroidota bacterium
Lineage: Bacteria; Pseudomonadati; Bacteroidota
Also listed under: 3 other names
Description: Bacteroidetes bacterium tRNA-Trp
Rfam family: tRNA
About the family: Transfer RNA (tRNA) molecules are approximately 80 nucleotides in length.
Source: RNAcentral